ACGAACGCUGGCGGCGUGCUUAACACAUGCAAGUCGAACGGAAAGGCCCUGCUUUUGUGGGGUGCUCGAGUGGCGAACGGGUGAGUAACACGUGAGUAACCUGCCCUUGACUUUGGGAUAACUUCAGGAAACUGGGGCUAAUACCGGAUAGGAGCUCCUGCUGCAUGGUGGGGGUUGGAAAGUUUCGGCGGUUGGGGAUGGACUCGCGGCUUAUCAGCUUGUUGGUGGGGUAGUGGCUUACCAAGGCUUUGACGGGUAGCCGGCCUGAGAGGGUGACCGGCCACAUUGGGACUGAGAUACGGCCCAGACUCCUACGGGAGGAAGAAGUGGGGAAUAUUGCACAAUGGGCGGAAGCCUGAUGCAGCAACGCCGCGUGCGGGAUGACGGCCUUCGGGUUGUAAACCGCUUUCGCCUGUGACGAAGCGUGAGUGACGGUAAUGGGUAAAGAAGCACCGGCUAACUACGUG
RNAcentral lists this ribosomal RNA (467 nucleotides) under uncultured bacterium. Its description in RNAcentral is "partial 16S ribosomal RNA". It matches the Rfam family "Bacterial small subunit ribosomal RNA", at positions 29 to 507 of the family's 1533-position model. The record is from RNAcentral.